UCACAGGUAGUCCAAGAGACUGACUGUUAGGGGCCGCUGCUGAUAAACCCCGCGGCAGUAGGCGAUGACAAACUUUUGUUUGUCUUGCCAUUUUAUUAUUGUGUUUGUAAAAUUGUUCUAUUUUUUUUUUUCCUCGAUGACGUCAGUAAAGAUUCCUGGGAGAAACUGUGUUACUGAUGACCCUUUAGCGCCUCCGAGCUUUGCAAAACAUGGACAAUUUCUCAUGUACUUAAAUCGUAAAAGCUGUCUCAUUAACAGGCGUCAGUCUAUUGUUGUUUAUAAUUCCUUUGCACCUAAAUGCCUGGCUGCUUCUUGCGGUGGACCACUGAUCGGUGGUACCGCAAGAAACAGGACCACCCUGACAUCACCACUCCUGAGACUUCUCUUGUCUAUUUAAGCCAGGAAAAUAUGGAGCUCAGGAGCAGUGCAUUGGGUUUGGACGAGUUUUUUAUUUAGAACUGUGACGGACAGCCG
Polypterus senegalus (gray bichir) is the source of this 474-nucleotide long non-coding RNA. RefSeq lists it as uncharacterized. NCBI's taxonomy places the organism in Eukaryota, Metazoa, Chordata, Cladistia, Polypteriformes, Polypteridae. The transcript is spliced from 3 exons. The record is from RefSeq and is a predicted model, not a curated record.